AUUAAUUAUUAUUUAUCGAGAUAAUUGCCUAAGAAGUUUGUGAAACCGAAAUUUAAGCAAUAUUAAUCUUUGCUCAAUAUCUAUAAAAAAAAAAUGGAAAAAAGUUAUGUUUAUACAAAGGCGCUUGCAAGUUACCAAUUUAUGUGUUCACAAAGGACCUUUGCAUUUUAAAAUUUAAACAAGAAUUUGUCCCCAGUACACGGAUGCCCCACUCGCACUAUCAUUUUCAAUGUUCAUUAGACCGUGAAAUUGGGAUAAAAACUCUUUUUUGGCAUGAAAAUUAGAAAGAUCAUGUCAUAGGGAACAUGUGUACUUAAGAACAACUUACAGAUAUUUUUACAACAAAACAAUUGAGGAAAAACAAAUAUGACAGACAAUAAAAUAAACAACAAACAACCGAACUACAGGCUCUUGACUUAGGACAGGCAAAUAAUGAAUGUGUUUGGGUAGCCUACUGUUUUCGUCGUUUGCAUAAAUGUUUUGUUUUAUAUCAUUUAAACAUUAUUUUCAUU
This 512-nucleotide long non-coding RNA is filed under the name Mytilus galloprovincialis (Mediterranean mussel). Lineage: Eukaryota; Metazoa; Mollusca; Bivalvia; Mytilida; Mytilidae. The record is from RNAcentral.